Caenorhabditis elegans is the source of this 421-nucleotide non-coding RNA. NCBI's taxonomy places the organism in Eukaryota, Metazoa, Nematoda, Chromadorea, Rhabditida, Rhabditidae. The record is from Ensembl.
UGAUGAAUCAGUUGCGACAUGUUGUGAAUCUUCGACUUCUUCCUGUGUCCCGCCACUAAAACACGCAAAAUGAGCCAUCGACGGGACCCUGCGUCUCCGUGAUUCAUUGAAUCUUUCAUCAUUUGGAACUCAAAAUGACGACGGGACGACAAGUGGCUCCUGGACGGGAAGAAACGAAAAGAAAUAAGAAGAUGAGACGUAUGUGUGUGUGUGUCCACUACUCUUUUUUUCUCGGCAUCCCCUCGUUUUAUACCCAGGUUUUCGUAAUACUCAACUCGGAAUUUGAAACUGAGACGUUGGCACGGCUCACCUACAACCUUUGUUGAGCUCAUAAAACCUGCUACGAACAGGUGUCGACCUAGAGCUACUAGAUGACCCGUGUAGAGGGAUGGCUCUUAUUUAUAUGAAACAAGAACUUUCU